This 629-nucleotide ribosomal RNA is filed under the name uncultured Pseudomonas sp. RNAcentral describes it as "bacterial SSU rRNA". It matches the Rfam family "Bacterial small subunit ribosomal RNA", at positions 95 to 720 of the family's 1533-position model. The record is from RNAcentral. Lineage: Bacteria; Pseudomonadati; Pseudomonadota; Gammaproteobacteria; Pseudomonadales; Pseudomonadaceae.
GCGGCGGACGGGUGAGUAAUGCCUAGGAAUCUGCCUGGUAGUGGGGGAUAACGUCCGGAAACGGGCGCUAAUACCGCAUACGUCCUGAGGGAGAAAGUGGGGGAUCUUCGGACCUCACGCUAUCAGAUGAGCCUAGGUCGGAUUAGCUAGUUGGUGGGGUAAAGGCCUACCAAGGCGACGAUCCGUAACUGGUCUGAGAGGAUGAUCAGUCACACUGGAACUGAGACACGGUCCAGACUCCUACGGGAGGCAGCAGUGGGGAAUAUUGGACAAUGGGCGAAAGCCUGAUCCAGCCAUGCCGCGUGUGUGAAGAAGGUCUUCGGAUUGUAAAGCACUUUAAGUUGGGAGGAAGGGCAGUAAGUUAAUACCUUGCUGUUUUGACGUUACCAACAGAAUAAGCACCGGCUAACUUCGUGCCAGCAGCCGCGGUAAUACGAAGGGUGCAAGCGUUAAUCGGAAUUACUGGGCGUAAAGCGCGCGUAGGUGGUUCAGCAAGUUGGAUGUGAAAUCCCCGGGCUCAACCUGGGAACUGCAUCCAAAACUACUGAGCUAGAGUACGGUAGAGGGUGGUGGAAUUUCCUGUGUAGCGGUGAAAUGCGUAGAUAUAGGAAGGAACACCAGUGGCGAAG